This 1222-nucleotide ribosomal RNA is filed under the name uncultured Halomonas sp. Its description in RNAcentral is "partial 16S ribosomal RNA". It matches the Rfam family "Bacterial small subunit ribosomal RNA", at positions 340 to 1532 of the family's 1533-position model. Lineage: Bacteria; Pseudomonadati; Pseudomonadota; Gammaproteobacteria; Oceanospirillales; Halomonadaceae. The record is from RNAcentral.
UCCGGGGAGUGUCAACCCAGUGGGAAAUAUUUGACAUUAGGGGAAAGCUAUCAAGCACUGCGGCGUGGGUGAAAGAAGGCCUUCCGGUUUUUAAGCCCUUCCAGCCAGGAAGAAAGCCUUUGGGUUAAUACCCCAGAGGAAAGAACAUCCUUGGCCAGAAAGAAGCACCCGGCUACUUCCGGUCAGCAGCCGCGUUAAUACGGAAGGGUGCGGAGGCCGUUAAUUCGGAAAUACUUGGGCGUAAAGGCGCCGCGUAAGGUGGCUUUGGCAACGCCCGGUUGUGAAAGACCCCAGAGCUCAACUUGGGAACGGCAUCCGGAACCGCCCAGGCUAGAGUGCAGGAGAGGAAGGUAGAAUUUCCGGUGUAGCGGUGAAAUGCGUAGAGAUCGGGAGGAAUACCAGUGGCGAAGGCGGCCCUUCUGGCCUGACACUGACACUGAGGUGCGAAAGCGUGGGUAGCAAACAGGAUUAGAUACCCUGGUAGUCCCACGCCGUAAACGAUGUCGACUAGCCGUUGGGACCUUUAAGGACUUAGUGGCGCAGUUAACGCGAUAAGUCGACCGCCUGGGGAGUACGGCCGCAAGGUUAAAACUCAAAUGAAUUGACGGGGGCCCGCACAAGCGGUGGAGCAUGUGGUUUAAUUCGAUGCAACGCGAAGAACCUUACCUACCCUUGACAUCCAGAGAAGUUGGCAGAGAUGCCUUCGUGCCUUCGGGAACUCUGAGACAGGUGCUGCAUGGCUGUCGUCAGCUCGUGUUGUGAAAUGUUGGGUUAAGUCCCGUAACGAGCGCAACCCUUGUCCUUAUUUGCCAGCGAGUAAAGUCGGGGACUCUAAGGAGACUGCCGGUGACAAACCGGAGGAAGGUGGGGACGACGUCAAGUCAUCAUGGCCCUUACGGGUAGGGCUACACACGUGCUACAAUGGCCGGUACAAAGGGUUGCGAGACCGCGAGGUGGAGCGAAUCCCAGAAAGCCGGCCUCAGUCCGGAUCGGAGUCUGCAACUCGACUCCGUGAAGUCGGAAUCGCUAGUAAUCGUGCAUCAGAAUGGCACGGUGAAUACGUUCCCGGGCCUUGUACACACCGCCCGUCACACCAUGGGAGUGGACUGCACCAGAAGUGGUUAGCCUAACUUCGGAGGGCGAUCACCUCGGUGUGGUUCAUGACUGGGGUGAAGUCGUAACAAGGUAGCCGUAGGGGAACCUGCGGCUGGAUCACCUCCUU